AUGGAGAAGGGCAAGGAGGUCCUGCCGCCCAUGGAGGUUGCACCGACUACGCCUGAGGAGGUGGCCACGGAUGAGGAUGUUGUGUCGAAGGAGCCCCCUAGUGGCAAGUGCCAUAACUGCAGCCACUACCAAGAGGAGGGAGGUCCAACCCAAUUCUGCAAGGUGAUCCUUGCUCCUCAGUUUGAGUGCAUCCCGAUGCCUCUUGACUUCACCAAACACUUCCCGGCGGUGCCACAAGAGUUUAAGCCGAGGACCAACAUCGGCUGCUCAUGGGGGGUGACUGUCCGGCUGAUGGACGACAGGGUGACCCUCAAUCGGGGUUGGGCCCCCUUCACCGCCGUCCAUCAGAUCAGGAUCGACUACAUGGUGAUGUUCAAGCUGCUCACUCCGGACACGCUGAAGGUCAUCGUCUUCGACGACGAAGGCAUUGAAGUGGUGACGAAGUGCGGCAAGCAUGACGACGCCUUCGCCCUCAACAUCUAG
This 483-nucleotide ribosomal RNA is filed under the name Triticum aestivum (bread wheat). RNAcentral describes it as "partial small subunit ribosomal RNA". Lineage: Eukaryota; Viridiplantae; Streptophyta; Magnoliopsida; Poales; Poaceae. The record is from RNAcentral.